RNAcentral lists this unclassified non-coding RNA (388 nucleotides) under Hevea brasiliensis (rubber tree). Lineage: Eukaryota; Viridiplantae; Streptophyta; Magnoliopsida; Malpighiales; Euphorbiaceae. The record is from RNAcentral.
AAGAAUUGCUCAGAGGGCCUCUAUAUUAUGUUUUAGUGUUAAUUUUGAGUGCGGUUCUCUUUUGGCGUGAGUCACCAGUUGGAGUAAUUUCAUUAGCAAUGAUGUGUGGUGGUGAUGGAAUCGCUGAUAUUGUUGGAAGAAGGUUUGGGUCCACAAAAUUACCUUAUAAUAAACAGAAAAGCUUGGUUGGUAGCCUCUCCAUGUUUGUUGUCGGUUUCCUGGUAUCCAUUGGGAUGCUGUAUUACUUCUCAGCGUUGGGAUAUUUUCAGUUGGAUUGGGUUUCAACUGUAGAAAGAGUAGCUUUGGUGUCAUUUGUAGCAACUAUGGUGGAGUCUCUCCCUAUUACUGGAAUGGUAGACGAUAACAUUUCUGUUCCUUUGGUAAGCAU